GGAGGUUACUGCUAUCGGUGUUCGCCUAACCCAUGCGAGUCAUAUGUUCUUCGUGAACAUGGCGUACUGCUCAGUAACACGUGAAUAACCUGCCCUUGGGACCGGCAUAACCCCGGGAAACUGGGGAUAAUUCCGGAUACCGCAUAUAUGCUGGAAUGCUUUAUGCGUGAAAUGGAUUCGUCUGCCCAAGGAUGGAUCUGCGGCCUAUCAGGUAGUAGUGGGUGUAAUGUACCUACUACCCUACAACGGGUACGGGUUGUGAGAGCAAGAGCCCGGAAAUGGAUUCUGAAACAUGAAUCCAGGCCCUACGGGGCGCACCAGGCGCGAAAACUUUACAAUGCGGGAAACCGUGAUAAGGGGACACCGAGUGCCAGCAACAUUUGUUGGCUGUCCAGGUGUGUAAACUACACCUGUUAGCAAGGGCCGGGCAAAACCGGUGC
Molecule: ribosomal RNA, 440 nt
Filed under: uncultured archaeon
Lineage: Archaea
Description: bacterial SSU rRNA
Rfam family: Archaeal small subunit ribosomal RNA
Source: RNAcentral